GAUUAAGUUAUUAAGGGCGCACGGUGGAUGCCUUGGCACUAGAAGCCGAUGAAGGACGUUACUAACGACGAUAUGCUUUGGGGAGCUGUAAGUAAGCUUUGAUCCAGAGAUUUCCGAAUGGGGAAACCCAGCAUGAGUUAUGUCAUGUUAUCGAUAUGUGAAUACAUAGCAUAUCAGAAGGCACACCCGGAGAACUGAAACAUCUUAGUACCCGGAGGAAGAGAAAGAAAAUUCGAUUCCCUUAGUAGCGGCGAGCGAAACGGGAAGAGCCCAAACCAACAAGCUUGCUUGUUGGGGUUGUAGGACACUCUAUACGGAGUUACAAAGGACGACAUUAGACGAAUCAUCUGGAAAGAUGAAUCAAAGAAGGUAAUAAUCCUGUAGUCGAAAAUGUUGUCUCUCUUGAGUGGAUCCUGAGUACGACGGAGCACGUGAAAUUCCGUCGGAAUCUGGGAGGACCAUCUCCUAAGGCUAAAUACUCUCUAGUGACCGAUAGUGAACCAGUACCGUGAGGGAAAGGUGAAAAGCACCCCGGAAGGGGAGUGAAAUAGAACCUGAAACCGUGUGCUUACAAGUAGUCAGAGCCCGUUAAUGGGUGAUGGCGUGCCUUUUGUAGAAUGAACCGGCGAGUUACGAUUUGAUGCAAGGUUAAGCAGUAAAUGUGGAGCCGUAGCGAAAGCGAGUCUGAAUAGGGCGUUUAGUAUUUGGUCGUAGACCCGAAACCAGGUGAUCUACCCUUGGUCAGGUUGAAGUUCAGGUAACACUGAAUGGAGGACCGAACCGACUUACGUUGAAAAGUGAGCGGAUGAACUGAGGGUAGCGGAGAAAUUCCAAUCGAACCUGGAGAUAGCUGGUUCUCUCCGAAAUAGCUUUAGGGCUAGCCUCAAGUGAUGAUUAUUGGAGGUAGAGCACUGUUUGGACGAGGGGCCCCUCUCGGGUUACCGAAUUCAGACAAACUCCGAAUGCCAAUUAAUUUAACUUGGGAGUCAGAACAUGGGUGAUAAGGUCCGUGUUCGAAAGGGAAACAGCCCAGACCACCAGCUAAGGUCCCAAAAUAUAUGUUAAGUGGAAAAGGAUGUGGCGUUGCCCAGACAACUAGGAUGUUGGCUUAGAAGCAGCCAUCAUUUAAAGAGUGCGUAAUAGCUCACUAGUCGAGUGACACUGCGCCGAAAAUGUACCGGGGCUAAACAUAUUACCGAAGCUGUGGAUUGUCCUUUGGACAAUGGUAGGAGAGCGUUCUAAGGGCGUUGAAGCAUGAUCGUAAGAACAUGUGGAGCGCUUAGAAGUGAGAAUGCCGGUGUGAGUAGCGAAAGACGGGUGAGAAUCCCGUCCACCGAUUGACUAAGGUUUCCAGAGGAAGGCUCGUCCGCUCUGGGUUAGUCGGGUCCUAAGCUGAGGCCGACAGGCGUAGGCGAUGGAUAACAGGUUGAUAUUCCUGUACCACCUAUAAUCGUUUUAAUCGAUGGGGGGACGCAGUAGGAUAGGCGAAGCGUGCGAUUGGAUUGCACGUCUAAGCAGUAAGGCUGAGUAUUAGGCAAAUCCGGUACUCGUUAAGGCUGAGCUGUGAUGGGGAGAAGACAUUGUGUCUUCGAGUCGUUGAUUUCACACUGCCGAGAAAAGCCUCUAGAUAGAAAAUAGGUGCCCGUACCGCAAACCGACACAGGUAGUCAAGAUGAGAAUUCUAAGGUGAGCGAGCGAACUCUCGUUAAGGAACUCGGCAAAAUGACCCCGUAACUUCGGGAGAAGGGGUGCUCUUUAGGGUUAACGCCCAGAAGAGCCGCAGUGAAUAGGCCCAAGCGACUGUUUAUCAAAAACACAGGUCUCUGCUAAACCGUAAGGUGAUGUAUAGGGGCUGACGCCUGCCCGGUGCUGGAAGGUUAAGAGGAGUGGUUAGCUUCUGCGAAGCUACGAAUCGAAGCCCCAGUAAACGGCGGCCGUAACUAUAACGGUCCUAAGGUAGCGAAAUUCCUUGUCGGGUAAGUUCCGACCCGCACGAAAGGCGUAACGAUUUGGGCACUGUCUCAACGAGAGACUCGGUGAAAUCAUAGUACCUGUGAAGAUGCAGGUUACCCGCGACAGGACGGAAAGACCCCGUGGAGCUUUACUGUAGCCUGAUAUUGAAAUUCGGCACAGCUUGUACAGGAUAGGUAGGAGCCUUUGAAACGUGAGCGCUAGCUUACGUGGAGGCGCUGGUGGGAUACUACCCUAGCUGUGUUGGCUUUCUAACCCGCACCACUUAUCGUGGUGGGAGACAGUGUCAGGCGGGCAGUUUGACUGGGGCGGUCGCCUCCUAAAAGGUAACGGAGGCGCUCAAAGGUUCCCUCAGAAUGGUUGGAAAUCAUUCAUAGAGUGUAAAGGCAUAAGGGAGCUUGACUGCGAGACCUACAAGUCGAGCAGGGUCGAAAGACGGACUUAGUGAUCCGGUGGUUCCGCAUGGAAGGGCCAUCGCUCAACGGAUAAAAGCUACCCCGGGGAUAACAGGCUUAUCUCCCCCAAGAGUUCACAUCGACGGGGAGGUUUGGCACCUCGAUGUCGGCUCAUCGCAUCCUGGGGCUGUAGUCGGUCCCAAGGGUUGGGCUGUUCGCCCAUUAAAGCGGUACGCGAGCUGGGUUCAGAACGUCGUGAGACAGUUCGGUCCCUAUCCGUCGUGGGCGUAGGAAAUUUGAGAGGAGCUGUCCUUAGUACGAGAGGACCGGGAUGGACAUACCUCUGGUGUACCAGUUGUCGUGCCAACGGCAUAGCUGGGUAGCUAUGUGUGGACGGGAUAAGUGCUGAAAGCAUCUAAGCAUGAAGCCCCCCUCAAGAUGAGAUUUCCCAACUUCGGUUAUAAGAUCCCUCAAAGAUGAUGAGGUUAAUAGGUUCGAGGUGGAAGCAUGGUGACAUGUGGAGCUGACGAAUACUAAUCGAUCGAAGACUUAAUCAA
Molecule: ribosomal RNA, 2923 nt
Filed under: Staphylococcus aureus
Lineage: Bacteria; Bacillati; Bacillota; Bacilli; Caryophanales; Staphylococcaceae
Also listed under: 4 other names
Description: 23S ribosomal RNA
Rfam family: Bacterial large subunit ribosomal RNA
Source: RNAcentral